RNAcentral lists this ribosomal RNA (800 nucleotides) under uncultured bacterium. Its description in RNAcentral is "bacterial SSU rRNA". It matches the Rfam family "Bacterial small subunit ribosomal RNA", at positions 85 to 880 of the family's 1533-position model. The record is from RNAcentral.
ACUUUACCUAGCGGCGGACGGGUGAGUAAUGCUUAGGAAUCUGCCUAUUAGUGGGGGACAACAUCUCGAAAGGGAUGCUAAUACCGCAUACGUCCUACGGGAGAAAGCAGGGGACCUUCGGGCCUUGCGCUAAUAGAUGAGCCUAAGUCGGAUUAGCUAGUUGGUGGGGUAAAGGCCUACCAAGGCGACGAUCUGUAGCGGGUCUGAGAGGAUGAUCCGCCACACUGGGACUGAGACACGGCCCAGACUCCUACGGGAGGCAGCAGUGGGGAAUAUUGGACAAUGGGGGGAACCCUGAUCCAGCCAUGCCGCGUGUGUGAAGAAGGCCUUUUGGUUGUAAAGCACUUUAAGCGAGGAGGAGGCUACCGAGAUUAAUACUCUUGGAUAGUGGACGUUACUCGCAGAAUAAGCACCGGCUAACUCUGUGCCAGCAGCCGCGGUAAUACAGAGGGUGCAAGCGUUAAUCGGAUUUACUGGGCGUAAAGCGCGCGUAGGUGGCCAAUUAAGUCAAAUGUGAAAUCCCCGAGCUUAACUUGGGAAUUGCAUUCGAUACUGGUUGGCUAGAGUAUGGGAGAGGAUGGUAGAAUUCCAGGUGUAGCGGUGAAAUGCGUAGAGAUCUGGAGGAAUACCGAUGGCGAAGGCAGCCAUCUGGCCUAAUACUGACACUGAGGUGCGAAAGCAUGGGGAGCACACAGGAUUAGAUACCCUGGUAGUCCAUGCCGUAAACGAUGUCUACUAGCCGUUGGGGCCUUUGAGGCUUUAGUGGCGCAGCUAACGCGAUAAGUAGACCGCCUGGGGAG